UUAAGCGAAUAAGCGUACACGGUGGAUGCCUAGGCAAUCAGAGGCGAUGAAGGACGUGCUAAUCUGCGAAAAGCGUCGGUAAGGUGAUAUGAACCGUUAUACCCGACGAUAUCCGAAUGGGGAAACCCAGUAUCCAAUGGAUACUAUCAUUAACUGAAUCCAUAGGUUAAUGAGGCGAACCGGGAGAACUGAAACAUCUCAGUACCCCGAGGAAAAGAAAUCAACCGAGAUUCCCCUAGUAGCGGCGAGCGAACGGGGAGCAGCCCAGAGUCUUAAUCAAUAGCAGUGUCAGGAGAACGGUCUGGAAAGUCCGGCAGUAAAGGGUGAUAGCCCCGUAUCUGAAGAUGCUGUUAUUGUGAACUCGAUGAGUAGGGCGGGACACGUGUUAUCCUGUCUGAAUAUGGGGGGACCAUCCUCCAAGGCUAAAUACUCCUGAUUGACCGAUAGUGAACCAGUACCGUGAGGGAAAGGCGAAAAGAACCCCGGCGAGGGGAGUGAAAAAGAACCUGAAACCGUGUACGUACAAGCAGUAGGAGCCUCUUUAUGGGGUGACUGCGUACCUUUUGUAUAAUGGGUCAGCGACUUAUAUUCUGUAGCGAGGUUAACCGUAUAGGGGAGCCGUAGGGAAACCGAGUCUUAACUGGGCGAAUGAGUUGCAGGGUAUAGACCCGAAACCCGGUGAUCUAUCCAUGGGCAGGUUGAAGGUUGGGUAACACUAACUGGAGGACCGAACCGACUAAUGUUGAAAAAUUAGCGGAUGACUUGUGGAUGGGGGUGAAAGGCCAAUCAAACCGGGAGAUAGCUGGUUCUCCCCGAAAGCUAUUUAGGUAGCGCCUCGUGAAUUCAUCUUCGGGGGUAGAGCACUGUUUCGACUAGGGGGUCAUCCCGACUUACCAACUCGAUGCAAACUGCGAAUACCGAAGAAUGUUAUCACGGGAGACACACGGCGGGUGCUAACGUCCGUCGUGAAGAGGGAAACAACCCAGACCGCCAGCUAAGGUCCCAAAGUCAUGGUUAAGUGGGAAACGAAGUGGGAAGGCUCAGACAGCCAGGAUGUUGGCUUAGAAGCAGCCAUCAUUUAAAGAAAGCGUAAUAGCUCACUGGUCGAGUCGGCCCGCGCGGAAGAUGUAACGGGGCUAAACCAUGCACCGAAGCUGCGGCAGCGACACAAAGUGUUGUUGGGUAGGGGAGCGUUCUGUAAGCCUGCGAAGGUGUACUGUGAGGUAUGCUGGAGGUAUCAGAAGUGCGAAUGCUGACAUAAGUAACGAUAAUGCGGGUGAAAAACCCGCACGCCGGAAGACCAAGGGUUCCUGUCCAACGUUAAUCGGGGCAGGGUGAGUCGACCCCUAAGGCGAGGCUGAAAAGCGUAGUCGAUGGGAAACGGGUUAAUAUUCCCGUACUGGUGGUAACUGCGAUGGGGGAACGGAGAAGGCUAGGUUGUCCGGGCGACGGUCGUCCCGGUUCAAGCAGGUAGGCAGAGUGAUUAGGCAAAUCCGGUCACUUAAUGCUGAGAUGUGAUGACGAACCACCAAGGUGGUGAAGCAAUUGAUGCCCCGCUUCCAGGAAAAGCCUCUAAGCUUCAGGUUACCAACAAUCGUACCCCAAACCGACACAGGUGGUCAGGUAGAGAAUACUCAGGCGCUUGAGAGAACUCGGGUGAAGGAACUAGGCAAAAUGGUGCCGUAACUUCGGGAGAAGGCACGCUGGCGGUAGGUAAAGUCCCUCGCGGACGGCGCCCAAGCCAGUCGAAGAUACCAGCUGGCUGCAACUGUUUAUUAAAAACACAGCACUGUGCAAACACGAAAGUGGACGUAUACGGUGUGACGCCUGCCCGGUGCUGGAAGGUUAAUUGAUGGGGUUAGCCGUAAGGCGAAGCUCCUGAUCGAAGCCCCAGUAAACGGCGGCCGUAACUAUAACGGUCCUAAGGUAGCGAAAUUCCUUGUCGGGUAAGUUCCGACCUGCACGAAUGGCGUAAUGAUGGCCAGGCUGUCUCCACCCGAGACUCAGUGAAAUUGAACUCGCUGUGAAGAUGCAGUGUACCCGCGGCAAGACGGAAAGACCCCGUGAACCUUUACUAUAGCUUGACACUGAACAUUGAGCCUUGAUGUGUAGGAUAGGUGGGAGGCUUUGAAGUGUGGACGCCAGUCUGCAUGGAGCCAACCUUGAAAUACCACCCUUUAACGUUUGAUGUUCUAACCUAGGCCCAUAAACUGGGUCGGGGACCGUGUCUGGUGGGUAGUUUGACUGGGGCGGUCUCCUCCUAAAGAGUAACGGAGGAGCACGAAGGUUGGCUAAGCAUGGUCGGACAUCAUGCGGUUAGUGCAAAGGCAUAAGCCAGCUUGACUGCGAGAGUGACGGCUCGAGCAGGUACGAAAGUAGGUCUUAGUGAUCCGGUGGUUCUGAAUGGAAGGGCCAUCGCUCAACGGAUAAAAGGUACUCCGGGGAUAACAGGCUGAUACCGCCCAAGAGUUCAUAUCGACGGCGGUGUUUGGCACCUCGAUGUCGGCUCAUCACAUCCUGGGGCUGAAGUAGGUCCCAAGGGUAUGGCUGUUCGCCAUUUAAAGUGGUACGCGAGCUGGGUUUAGAACGUCGUGAGACAGUUCGGUCCCUAUCUGCCGUGGGCGUUGGAAGAUUGAGAGGGGUUGCUCCUAGUACGAGAGGACCGGAGUGAACGCACCACUGGUGUUCGGGUUGUCAUGCCAAUGGCAUUGCCCGGUAGCUAAGUGCGGAAGAGAUAACCGCUGAAAGCAUCUAAGCGGGAAACUUGCCUCGAGAUGAGUCUUCCCUGUCACUUUAAGUGACCUAAAGGAACGUUUAAGACUAAGACGUUGAUAGGCUGGGUGUGUAAGCGUAGCGAUACGUUGAGCUAACCAGUACUAAUGAACCGUGAGGCUUAACC
RNAcentral lists this ribosomal RNA (2899 nucleotides) under Proteus mirabilis. RNAcentral's name for it is "23S ribosomal RNA". It matches the Rfam family "Bacterial large subunit ribosomal RNA". The record is from RNAcentral. Lineage: Bacteria; Pseudomonadati; Pseudomonadota; Gammaproteobacteria; Enterobacterales; Morganellaceae.